RNAcentral lists this transfer RNA (65 nucleotides) under Euryusa optabilis. RNAcentral describes it as "tRNA-Glu". The record is from RNAcentral. Lineage: Eukaryota; Metazoa; Arthropoda; Insecta; Coleoptera; Staphylinidae.
AUUUAUAUAGUUUAAAAAAACAUUAUAUUUUCAUUAUAAAAAUAAGAUAUUUUUCUUUAUAAAUA